Molecule: ribosomal RNA, 241 nt
Filed under: uncultured bacterium
Lineage: Bacteria
Description: partial 16S ribosomal RNA
Rfam family: Bacterial small subunit ribosomal RNA
Source: RNAcentral
GAUAUGGCUCAGAUUGAACGCUGGCGGCAGGCUUAACACAUGCAAGUCGAACGGUAACAUAAAGAAGCUUGCUUCUUUGAUGACGAGUGGCGGACGGGUGAGUAAUGCUUGGGAAUCUAGCUUAUGGAGGGGAUAACUACGGGAAACUGUAGCUAAUACCGCGUAGAAUCGGGAGAUGAAAGUGUGGGACCUUCGGGCCACAUGCCAUAGGAUGAGCCCAAGUGGGAUUAGGUAGUUGGUG